Molecule: ribosomal RNA, 472 nt
Filed under: uncultured bacterium
Lineage: Bacteria
Description: bacterial SSU rRNA
Rfam family: Bacterial small subunit ribosomal RNA
Source: RNAcentral
UAGGGAAUAUUGGACAAUGGGUGAGAGCCUGAUCCAGCAAUGCCGCGUGAGUGAAGAAGGCCUUCGGGUUGUAAAGCUCUUUUGUCAGGGAAGAAACGGUGGGAGCUAAUAUCUCCUACUAAUGACGGUACCUGAAGAAUAAGCACCGGCUAACUACGUGCCAGCAGCCGCGCUAAUACGUAGGGUGCAAGCGUUAAUCGGAAUUACUGGGCGUAAAGCGUGCGCAGGCGGUUUUGUAAGUCUGUCGUGAAAGCCCCGGGCUCAACCUGGGAAUUGCGAUGGAGACUGCAAGGCUUGAAUCUGGCAGAGGGGGGUAGAAUUCCACGUGUAGCAGUGAAAUGCGUAGAGAUGUGGAGGAACACCGAUGGCGAAGGCAGCCCCCUGGGUCAAGAUUGACGCUCAUGCACGAAAGCGUGGGGAGCAAACAGGAUUAGAUACCCUAGUAGUCCCUGAGCGGGCUGGCAAGGCGCAU